UAGGGAAUCUUCGGCAAUGGACGAAAGUCUGACCGAGCAACGCCGCGUGAGUGAAGAAGGUUUUCGGAUCGUAAAACUCUGUUGUUAGAGAAGAACAAGGACGUUAGUAACUGAACGUCCCCUGACGGUAUCUAACCAGAAAGCCACGGCUAACUACGUGCCAGCAGCCGCGGUAAUACGUAGGUGGCAAGCGUUGUCCGGAUUUAUUGGGCGUAAAGCGAGCGCAGGCGGUUUCUUAAGUCUGAUGUGAAAUCCCCGGGCUCAACCUGGGAACUGCAUUCGAAACUGGCAGGCUAGAGUCUUGUAGAGGGGGGUAGAAUUCCAGGUGUAGCGGUGAAAUGCGUAGAGAUCUGGAGGAAUACCGGUGGCGAAGGCGGCCCCCUGGACGAAGACUGACGCUCAGGUGCGAAAGCGUGGGGAGCAAACAGG
RNAcentral lists this ribosomal RNA (429 nucleotides) under Chloroflexota bacterium. Its description in RNAcentral is "Chloroflexi bacterium partial 16S ribosomal RNA". It matches the Rfam family "Bacterial small subunit ribosomal RNA", at positions 355 to 776 of the family's 1533-position model. The record is from RNAcentral. Lineage: Bacteria; Bacillati; Chloroflexota.